UUCACAUGCAUAAUAUAUGUAGAAGAAGUUCUCGAUCCCUACCAAUAGACCAAAUCGUAUACCAAGAGACCAAUGCAUUGGUCAUGUCUCCUGUUGGAUUUAUAUAUAUCAGGAAAAAUGACUUGAUGCAUUUAUUAAGGAUAUUCUUUGUAUAAAUAGAAAUUAUAAAAAUGGCUUGAUAUUCAACAAAUAAUUAUAAUUAAUGAGAACAAAUUAAUUUGCAAUUUGUGUAUCCGUCUUGCCUCCUGUUGGGUUUCUAAGAAAGCUAACAAUUUAAAGGCGAACUUAAAGUUGAACUCAGCCUCGCCGAACUCAACCUCGCCGCCAUCAAAUCUCAAUCUCGCAGCCACACCGCCAUUGCUUCUCCACUUUGCCGUUGUCGCCUCCAUCGCAUCUCAACCUCUCUACGUCAUAUCUCAACUUCACCUCCAUCGUAACCUCGUCGUUGUCAAUCUCCUAUUUUUUGACCUUCAUUGCCACCUUAAGUGAAAUUGCAGAUCUGGUGGUUUUUUGAGAUUGAAGUAUAUUGUCAAGUUGAAGGAGACAAAUGGUUCUGACAGUGCAGCCAUUUCUGCUUGCAUAGAGGUAUUGAUACUUUGAUUACGUCAUUAAUGCUAUAUAGAAUCUAUUCAGCAAUUAAAAUUUUCUUCACAACUAACUUGAUCUAUGUGCUAAUGUUUGAUCCAGAUUUCUAAGAAAGCUACUGUGGCGUGUAUUGUUUGUAACAAAACAAUUUUAGAAAUUCAAUUAAUUGUUUUACAUAAUUUUCAUGAAUACGUAGUUUUUAAAUUUUGUUGAAUUAAUGUUAUCUCAGUUUUCUUUAACUUGGUUAUUGUACAAUUUAACUUUGGUUUGUCGAAGAAUUUGCUUCAGACAAUCCGAUCCAUUGCUCGUGAUUUCAUGUUCACACUUUCAGAUUCCUAAUUCUCUCACCGUUUCAUUUGCAAUACUAAAAAGAAUCUCAGGUUUCUAACAAUUUCAUUCGUGCAUAGUGUUAAGGUAUUUUGUUCAUUCUGUUCUGUUUGAUUCUCUCUUUAUAUUAGGUCUGUUCAUGCAAUUUUGUGGUUGUUUUGCAUCCAUGCCAUCAUAAACCAGUGGUGGUUGUCAUGAUUCUUCAUGGUAGCAGAGUUCUUGGCAUGUGUUGCAUAGAGAGUAUUGAGGCAAGAGGCUGUAUGCAAACGAUUCCAAAUCCUUAAGCUUUGCAGCAAACUAAUUCACAUAACAGUGAAAUCAACAUAUAACGCUUGUUUUUUAUUUUUCGCACAACCUUUUAUUAACACAGUUAAUGUUCUAAAUGCCAACAUAACACUAAAGCUUUAUAGUUACUUUUACUGUCAUUAAACUGGCUUAAACUAAGACUCUCUUAUACUCUCUCCAGGACAGUCUCUUAUAAUGGAUUGGUCUACAUUAUGAAAAUUAAUAAUAAUAUUUUACUUAUCAUCAUGUGAUUCAUAAUGCCAUUCCUACAGGAGUCAAAAGGUUAAUUAAUUUAUGUUUCUAGAUUCAUGUCUUAGAUAGAUAUUUUAUAUUGGUCUUUGUAGACCUCAGAACAAUCUUAUACAAAUACAAUUCUUACUCUUAUAAUCAAGAUGGCUUGUUUUAUCUUUUUGAGGAUUUAAUUGUGUCAGUUAAAUAUGGAUUUUGAUUAUAUAGUAGUAAGAAGAGUACGCAUACACGGCAUCUCCACCUCAUCAUAUGAACUUUUAGCUUGUAGGUGAAUGCCUCCUUAUCCUGGUGGUCUCGGUCAUGGUGGUCUCGGUCAUUGACCCCAUAUGGCAAUAUCUUCAUUUGAUGUUGCUGUCUCUCCAUUCUCUCAAUUUUUGAUUUUGACUUAUUAUUAUUUGAACGGCUAAUAGACUAAACUGAAAUCUUGCAUGUGGCUUAGCUUCUUUGGAUAUCCACUAAUUUAACAGCCCUCGUGUACUGAAGUUGAUGUAUAUCACACUCUGCAACAACUCUUUUUUUUCCUAGUACGCUGUGCACUUCCGUUUGUGCGUUUCCUAUAACAUGAGGAUUCAUUUGCAGCUCUGUCGUUGCCCAAUCAAGGGUACGUAUCAGUUCCAGCAGCAAACAUAUCCUGCAAAAAUGAAACAAGGUAUUGUUAACCUGCCAUUUUUCAAUUAGGCAAAAGUGAAUUGAAGUAAAUAAUUAAUUUGGUCGUACAUGUAUGAGAUGGUGUCAUUAUAGUCUCUGAAUGUAUUGAAACUUAAAAACAUCAUGAGUGUGAUAACCAAAUUAGUCUAUUAGUUAUUUCAUGUGCCAAAUUGACAAAUGAAUGACACGGUUGAUAACCAAAUUGACUAAAAAAAACACGAGGACCAAUUUAACUAGCAAAAAUUACAUUAUGUGCGUUUUUUUUGUUUCAUGCAUCCGAAGACUAUAGUGACAUCGACUGACACAUUCAAAGACCCAAAUGGCUAUUUACUCAAUACCUAAUAGACUAAUACCUUCUCCACUUUCAACAUAUUAGAGAUAAACCAAAACCAAACACAUGGUUAUUAAGGCUUCACUUACCAAGAUUAUUGCCCGAGCGAUUCAUCUGCAUCUCAAGUAAAAUAUCUACAAGGUCCUUAUGUUCCCUUACUUUAUUGCAAGCCUUGUGUCCAAAAAGUUUCUUAGAGUCUUGCUUUCAUGCUUGUCAAGUUGUGUAUACACUCCAAAGAAGGAAAGAAGUCACCAACACUGAAUCCUCCAUGUAGUUCCUGGUACUCAUCAAACAUCUUUUGGAACCCAUAUUUUUUAUGCUCUCCUCCUUCAGAAAAGUCCCUUCCAAAUGCUACACGGAAAACAAUAUUCCCAACUCAUAAUAUGGUAGUUCCUGGAUAAGACCCUGCAACUCUAUGAACAAGAGAAGCACCUUCUUCUCUAAAAUAUGAUUUCUUUUGGGGUUGAUCUAUGCUCUUUUUUACCAGAACUAAUUUGUAGAAAUUUAUCACUGAUAUUGGGUAAUGCUUAUUUAUAGAAAUUUAUCACUAAUAUUGGGUAAUGCUUAUUUAUAUAAAUUUAUCAAGGAUAUUGGGUAAUGCAGCUGUACCUAGUUUACUUAUAUGCAUUAUAUCUUGUGUGACCAAUUCACAGUGUGAACUUAAAUGGCUGAAGGUGUUCUUCUCAAUACUUGAAUUAUGAUUAUCUUUUAUCAUCAUAAUUAGUUGUACCAAUAGUUAGCAAACUAAUAGUUAACAUCAAAAAAUUUACAUCUUAUAAGUCAAGUUGGAACUGUGCUGCUUAUCUUUUAUUUUGCUUCUACUAAGUUACGUCAUACUCACUGCAGAGUUGAAACGAGAAAUAGAUAUGGACAUAAAAAGUUGGUUUAAUCAGUCCACCUUGAAAAUGAAGUUAGAUUUUAAUAUUGAAUUUGGCUUGACAUUGAUAAUUUUUUUGACUUGUUUGAAUAUAAGGUAAGGAGGUAACUUUAGAUUAUAUUAGUUUCUUUGCAUGUGAGAACUAAAAUUAUUUUUUACAAGUAAUAUGAGAGGAGAAGAAUUGUUUAUGUUCACUCUUCUUCAAAUAAUUUGUUUCUACCUGAACUGCUACAUUGAUUAAUAAAAAUUCCCCUUCCACAAUUUAAAAAAAAAAAAAAAACAGAAAAAAACUUAUGGUUCUGUCAUUGACAUUUACACUGAUUUUCUAUAUGAAUAUGUCCACUGAUUUUCUUCUUAUUUUGCAGAUCUGCUGUAUUAGAGCUAAAUUAAGAGAAUAGCAAUUGUUUUGUGUUGCUUGUCAUGUUAUAAUAAGCUUGUCGAUAAUGGUUGUAGUCUUCCUAUUAUUUAUUUUAACCAAAGUUCACCAGUUACCAGUU
Molecule: long non-coding RNA, 3799 nt
Organism: Cicer arietinum (chickpea)
Lineage: Eukaryota; Viridiplantae; Streptophyta; Magnoliopsida; Fabales; Fabaceae
Source: RefSeq, a predicted model, not a curated record